Molecule: long non-coding RNA, 229 nt
Filed under: Lathyrus oleraceus (garden pea)
Lineage: Eukaryota; Viridiplantae; Streptophyta; Magnoliopsida; Fabales; Fabaceae
Description: Pisum sativum (pea) long non-coding RNA (PSAT_LNC011371)
Source: RNAcentral
UCGAGUCUACAAGGAAUUUUAGGUCAACACCAUAUCAAAUGGGAGACAACCAUGCAGAAGAUAAACACAAAUAGCUGCUCAGAAACCAGGAGGGAACUCUGACUGGGAGCGAGUCGGAUGGCGACUGAUGGGGAAACCAAUGCGAUCUACUGGGGAAAGAUCUUACUCUGCUGAAGAUCAACCCUGUUGGGGAUACAGAAACACUGCCAGGAAAUAACACGCCGCAAGG